RNAcentral lists this ribosomal RNA (446 nucleotides) under uncultured Victivallaceae bacterium. RNAcentral describes it as "bacterial SSU rRNA". It matches the Rfam family "Bacterial small subunit ribosomal RNA", at positions 335 to 797 of the family's 1533-position model. The record is from RNAcentral. Lineage: Bacteria; Pseudomonadati; Lentisphaerota; Lentisphaeria; Victivallales; Victivallaceae.
GGCCUACGGGGGGCUGCAGUCGAGAAUCUUGGGCAAUGCGCGAAAGCGUGACCCAGCAAUGCCGCGUGCAGGAUGAAGGCCUUCGGGUUGUAAACUGCUGUCACCCGGGACGAAGAAUUGACGGUACCGGGAGAGGAAGCCACGGCUAACUACGUGCCAGCAGCCGCGGUAAUACGUAGGUGGCGAGCGUUGUUCGGAUUUAUUGGGCGUAAAGGGUCUGUAGGGGGUUUGCUAAGUCUGAUGUGAAAUCCCGUGGCGCAACCACGGAACUGCAUUGGAGACUGGCGGACUAGAGUUCUGGAGAGGUAAGCGGAAUUCCAGGUGUAGCGGUGGAAUGCGUAGAUAUCUGGAAGAACACCGAUAGCGAAGGCAGCUUACUGGACAGCGACUGACCCUGAAAGACGAAAGCGUGGGGAGCAAACAGGAUUAGAUACCCGAGUAGUCGA